GGAUUAGAUACCCUGGUAGUCCACGCCGUAAACGAUGGAUACUAGCUGUUCGUUUCACAAUGGUGAGAUGAGUGGCUAAGCGAAAGUGAUAAGUAUCCCACCUGGGGAGUACGUUCGCAAGAAUGAAACUCAAAGGAAUUGACGGGGGCCCGCACAAGCGGUGGAGCAUGUGGUUUAAUUCGAUGAUACGCGAGGAACCUUACCAAGGCUUAAAUGAAGAUUGACAGAUUUGGAGACAGAUUUUUCUUCGGACAAUUUUCAAGGUGCUGCAUGGUUGUCGUCAGCUCGUGCCG
Molecule: ribosomal RNA, 293 nt
Filed under: uncultured bacterium
Lineage: Bacteria
Description: partial 16S ribosomal RNA
Rfam family: Bacterial small subunit ribosomal RNA
Source: RNAcentral